RNAcentral lists this ribosomal RNA (460 nucleotides) under uncultured bacterium. RNAcentral's name for it is "partial 16S ribosomal RNA". It matches the Rfam family "Bacterial small subunit ribosomal RNA", at positions 338 to 795 of the family's 1533-position model. The record is from RNAcentral.
CCUACGGGAGGCAGCAGUGAGGAAUAUUGGUCAAUGGACGAGAGUCUGAACCAGCCAAGUAGCGUGAAGGAUGACUGCCCUAUGGGUUGUAAACUUCUUUUAUAUGGGAAUAAAAUGUUCCACGUGUGGGAUUUUGUAUGUACCAUAUGAAUAAGGAUCGGCUAACUCCGUGCCAGCAGCCGCGGUAAUACGGAGGAUCCGAGCGUUAUCCGGAUUUAUUGGGUUUAAAGGGAGCGUAGGUGGAUUGUUAAGUCAGUUGUGAAAGUUUGGGGCUCAACCGGAAAAUUGCAGUUGAAACUGGCAGUCUUGAGUACAGUAGAGGUGGGCGGAAUGCGUGGUGUAGCGGUGAAAUGCUUAGAUAUCACGAAGAACUCCGAUUGCGAAGGCAGUUCACUGGACUGCAACUGACACUGAGGCUCGAAAGUGUGGGUAUCAAACAGGAUUAGAUACCCCAGUAGUC